This 397-nucleotide ribosomal RNA is filed under the name uncultured bacterium. RNAcentral's name for it is "partial 16S ribosomal RNA". It matches the Rfam family "Bacterial small subunit ribosomal RNA", at positions 523 to 918 of the family's 1533-position model. The record is from RNAcentral.
AUACGUAGGUGACAAGCGUUAUCCGGAUUUACUGGGCGUAAAGGGCGUGUAGGCGGUCUUGCAAGUCAGAAGUGAAAUUCCUGAGCUCAACUCGGGCGCUGCUUCUGAAACUGCAGGACUUGAGUGCUGGAGGGGAUAGCGGAAUUCCUAGUGUAGCGGUAAAAUGCGUAGAUAUUAGGAGGAACACCGGUGGCGAAGGCGGCUUUCUGGACAGUAACUGACGCUGAGGCGCGAAAGCGUGGGGAGCAAACAGGAUUAGAUACCCUGGUAGUCCACGCCAUAAACGAUGAAUACUAGGUGUAGGGGGUAUCGACCCCCUCUGUGCCGACGUUAACACAUUAAGUAUUCCACCUGGGGAGUACGGCCGCAAGGCUGAAACUCAAAUGAAUUGACGGGG